UGGGGAAUAUUGCACAAUGGGCGCAAGCCUGAUGCAGCCAUGCCGCGUGUAUGAAGAAGGCCUUCGGGUUGUAAAGUACUUUCAGCGAGGAGGAAGGCGUUGUGGUUAAUAACCGCAACGAUUGACGUUACUCGCAGAAGAAGCACCGGCUAACUCCGUGCCAACAGCCGCGGUAAUACGGAGGGUGCAAGCGUUAAUCGGAAUUACUGGGCGUAAAGCGCACGCAGGCGGUCUGUCAAGUCGGAUGUGAAAUCCCCGGGCUCAACCUGGGAACUGCAUCCGAAACUGGCAGGCUAGAGUCUUGUAGAGGGGGGUAGAAUUCCAGGUGUAGCGGUGAAAUGCGUAGAGAUCUGGAGGAAUACCGGUGGCGAAGGCGGCCCCCUGGACAAAGACUGACGCUCAGGUGCGAAAGCGUGGGGAGCAAACA
RNAcentral lists this ribosomal RNA (427 nucleotides) under uncultured bacterium. Its description in RNAcentral is "partial 16S ribosomal RNA". It matches the Rfam family "Bacterial small subunit ribosomal RNA", at positions 355 to 774 of the family's 1533-position model. The record is from RNAcentral.